UGUGCACAUUGUUAGAGCUUGGAGUUGAGGUCACAAACUGGCCAAUCAACUCACAAGUGUAGGUAGUACGCCACAUGAGUAGCAAGUUUUCGCUAACACUCUACUCUGGCCUGGAAAGUAGAGUUUGAUAGUAACAUUUGCUACAAGU
RNAcentral lists this small nucleolar RNA (148 nucleotides) under Nannospalax galili (Upper Galilee mountains blind mole rat). The record is from RNAcentral. Lineage: Eukaryota; Metazoa; Chordata; Mammalia; Rodentia; Spalacidae.